Molecule: ribosomal RNA, 293 nt
Filed under: uncultured Stichotrichia
Lineage: Eukaryota; Ciliophora; Spirotrichea
Description: partial Eukaryotic large subunit ribosomal RNA
Rfam family: Eukaryotic large subunit ribosomal RNA
Source: RNAcentral
GAAUCGGGUUAAUAUUCCCGAACCAGGACGUGGAUGUUGAGUGGCAACACAAGCGAAGCCGGGGACAGCUGCGGGGGCCCCGACGAGAGUUUUCUUUUCUUGUUAACAAGCGACACCGACCCCGGAAUCGGAUUGCCCGGAGAUGGGGUUGGCGGCUUGGUAAAGGCGGCCGCUUUUUGGCCGCUUCGGUGCGCCCUCGACGCUCCUUGAAAACCUGGCAGCGUGUUUUAUUCGCACCCCUGGUCGUACUCAUCACCGCAUCAGGUCUCCAAGGUUAGCAGCCUCUAGUCGAU